This 83-nucleotide non-coding RNA is filed under the name Scrippsiella hangoei. Lineage: Eukaryota; Dinophyceae; Peridiniales; Peridiniaceae. The record is from RNAcentral.
GGGCCGUGAAGGACGUGUGGAAUGCCUGAGGGCAAAGGGAGCAAGUCGGAUGACAUGCGUGCCGACCUGUGGUGAGGUCGGCG